GACGAACGCUGGCGGCGCGCUUAACACAUGCAAGUCGAACGGAAAGGCCUGCUUUCCCUUGUGGAUUGCGGGUACUCGAGUGGCGAACGGGUGAGUAACACGUGAGUGAUCUGCCCCCAACUUGGGUAUAAGCCUGGGAAACUGGGUCUAAUUCCCGAUAGGAAUGCAGGGUGGUGCCUGUGGUGGAAAACGAUUUUCUAGUGGUUGGGGAUGAGCUCGCGGCCUAUCAGCUUGUUGGUGGGGUAAUGGCCUACCAAGGCGGCGACGGGUAGCCGGACUGAGAGGGUGGACGGCCACAUUGGGACUGGGAUACGGCCCAGACUCCUACGGGAGGCAGCAGUGGGGAAUAUUGCACAAUGGGCGGAAGCCUGAUGCAGCGACGCCGCGUGGGGGAUGACGGCCUUCGGGUUGUAAACUCCUUUCGACCGCGAGGAAGCCACCUGGUUGGAAGGGUGGUGACGGUAGUGGUAGAAGAAGCACCGGCUAACUACGUG
This 494-nucleotide ribosomal RNA is filed under the name uncultured bacterium. RNAcentral's name for it is "partial 16S ribosomal RNA". It matches the Rfam family "Bacterial small subunit ribosomal RNA", at positions 28 to 507 of the family's 1533-position model. The record is from RNAcentral.